This 391-nucleotide ribosomal RNA is filed under the name uncultured bacterium. Its description in RNAcentral is "bacterial SSU rRNA". It matches the Rfam family "Bacterial small subunit ribosomal RNA", at positions 30 to 414 of the family's 1533-position model. The record is from RNAcentral.
AGCGAACGUUUGCGGCGGGCUUAACACAUGCAAGUCGAACGGGCUGUUCCUUCGGGGGCAGUCAGUGGCGCACGGGUGCGUAACACGUAGGUAAUCAACCCUCUGGUUGGGGAUAACACUUCGAAAGGAGUGCUAAUACCCGGUAUGGCGCAGCGGUCUUCGGAUCGCGGCGAGAAAGACCCGCAAGGGUUGCCAGAGGACGAGCCUGCGGCCCAUCAGCUAGUUGGCGAGGUAACGGCUCACCAAGGCGAAGACGGGUAGCUGGUCUGAGAGGAUGAUCAGCCACACUGGAACUGAGACACGGUCCAGACUCCUACGGGAGGCAGCAGUGGGGAAGUAUUGCGCAAUGGGCGGAAGACCUGACGCAGCCACGCCGCGUGAGCGAUGAAGG